UGGUGGAGUGAUUUGUCUGCCUAAUCGCGAUAACGAACGAGACCUUAACCUGCUAAAUAGCCCGCGUUGCUUUGGCAGCGCGCUGGCUUCUUAGAGGGACUAUCGGCUCAAGCCGAUGGAAGUUUGAGGCAAUAACA
RNAcentral lists this ribosomal RNA (137 nucleotides) under uncultured eukaryote. Its description in RNAcentral is "partial 18S ribosomal RNA". It matches the Rfam family "Eukaryotic small subunit ribosomal RNA", at positions 1299 to 1458 of the family's 1831-position model. The record is from RNAcentral.